This 29-nucleotide non-coding RNA is filed under the name Homo sapiens (human). Lineage: Eukaryota; Metazoa; Chordata; Mammalia; Primates; Hominidae. The record is from RNAcentral.
UGGAAGAACUUUGAAGAUGGGUGAUUUCC